UCCUGCCCAGUGACAUAGUUCAACGGCCGCGGUAUCCUAACCGUGCAAAGGUAGCAUAAUCACUUGCCCAUUAAUUGUGGGCUAGAAUGAAAGGACCAACGAAAUAAAAACUGUCUCUAUAAGUUACACAAAAAUUAAUCUCUAACUGAAGAGUGUUAGAUUACAUCGAAGGACAAGAAGACCCCGUAGAGCUUCAUUUUAACAGAGACCAGCUCUCUUCUAAGAUUCGGUUGGGGCGACCAAGGAUAUAUCAAUCAUCCUAAAUUAAAAGAUUAAUUAAUCCAAAAAAGACCCUUAAACAAGAUCAUAAAAACAAGCUACCUCGGGGAUAACAGACUAAUCCCGCUAGAGAGUCCUUAUCAACAGUGGGGGUUGGCACCUCGAUGUUGGCUUAGGGUAUCUAUACAGCGCAAAAGCUGCAUAAAGAUGGUUUGUUCAACCAAUAACACCCUACAUGAGCUGAGUUCAGACCGGCGUAAGCCAGGUUAGUUUCUAUCCACGACAAAACCUCUGCCUAUAGUACGAAAGGACCUAGGUAAGAAUAAUUAUUAUAAAACUAGAAUAAAUAUAAUAUUAAAUAAUCCCCACUAAACGUAAACUACGA
Molecule: ribosomal RNA, 604 nt
Filed under: Hormogaster sp. UCML T00362
Lineage: Eukaryota; Metazoa; Annelida; Clitellata; Crassiclitellata; Hormogastridae
Also listed under: 2 other names
Description: partial 16S ribosomal RNA
Rfam family: Bacterial large subunit ribosomal RNA
Source: RNAcentral